Molecule: ribosomal RNA, 771 nt
Filed under: Escherichia coli
Lineage: Bacteria; Pseudomonadati; Pseudomonadota; Gammaproteobacteria; Enterobacterales; Enterobacteriaceae
Also listed under: 18 other names
Description: bacterial LSU rRNA
Rfam family: Bacterial large subunit ribosomal RNA
Source: RNAcentral
GGGACACGUGGUAUCCUGUCUGAAUAUGGGGGGACCAUCCUCCAAGGCUAAAUACUCCUGACUGACCGAUAGUGAACCAGUACCGUGAGGGAAAGGCGAAAAGAACCCCGGCGAGGGGAGUGAAAAAGAACCUGAAACCGUGUACGUACAAGCAGUGGGAGCACGCUUAGGCGUGUGACUGCGUACCUUUUGUAUAAUGGGUCAGCGACUUAUAUUCUGUAGCAAGGUUAACCGAAUAGGGGAGCCGAAGGGAAACCGAGUCUUAACUGGGCGUUAAGUUGCAGGGUAUAGACCCGAAACCCGGUGAUCUAGCCAUGGGCAGGUUGAAGGUUGGGUAACACUAACUGGAGGACCGAACCGACUAAUGUUGAAAAAUUAGCGGAUGACUUGUGGCUGGGGGUGAAAGGCCAAUCAAACCGGGAGAUAGCUGGUUCUCCCCGAAAGCUAUUUAGGUAGCGCCUCGUGAAUUCAUCUCCGGGGGUAGAGCACUGUUUCGGCAAGGGGGUCAUCCCGACUUACCAACCCGAUGCAAACUGCGAAUACCGGAGAAUGUUAUCACGGGAGACACACGGCGGGUGCUAACGUCCGUCGUGAAGAGGGAAACAACCCAGACCGCCAGCUAAGGUCCCAAAGUCAUGGUUAAGUGGGAAACGAUGUGGGAAGGCCCAGACAGCCAGGAUGUUGGCUUAGAAGCAGCCAUCAUUUAAAGAAAGCGUAAUAGCUCACUGGUCGAGUCGGCCUGCGCGGAAGAUGUAACGGGGCUAAACCAUG